AGUCUUAUGAUUAAUUAUAUAAGAUAUUUUCUGCCCAGUGGAAAACUCUUAACGGCCGCAGUACCUUGACUGUGCUAAGGUAGCAUAAUAAAUUGUCUUUUAAUUGAAGUCUAGAAUGAAUGGAUGAAAUGGGAAGUUACUGUCUUUUAUUAAAUAAUUUGAAUUUUUUUAUAAGGUGAAAAUCCCUUAUAAUUAAGAAAAAAGACGAGAAGACCCUUAGAAUUUUUCUUAAAUUAAUAAUAAUUAUUAAUUUGUUUUGUUGGGGUGACAGAUUAACAUUUAAACUUAUUUUAUUUUUAAUAAAUAUCAAGUCGAAUAUUUUCUGAGAGGAAAAAUUACCUUAGGGAUAACAGCAUAAUUUUUAAGAAAGAUUGUGACCUCGAUGUUGGACUAGGGACCUUAUAAUUAGUAAUUAACUUGGCUAGUUCUGUUCGAACUUUACCCCCU
This 447-nucleotide ribosomal RNA is filed under the name Edentulina minor. RNAcentral's name for it is "partial 16S ribosomal RNA". The stretch from base 1 to 189 matches the Rfam family "Archaeal large subunit ribosomal RNA", at positions 1921 to 2143 of the family's 2987-position model. The record is from RNAcentral. Lineage: Eukaryota; Metazoa; Mollusca; Gastropoda; Stylommatophora; Streptaxidae.